This 457-nucleotide ribosomal RNA is filed under the name uncultured Pseudomonas sp. Its description in RNAcentral is "bacterial SSU rRNA". It matches the Rfam family "Bacterial small subunit ribosomal RNA", at positions 56 to 509 of the family's 1533-position model. Lineage: Bacteria; Pseudomonadati; Pseudomonadota; Gammaproteobacteria; Pseudomonadales; Pseudomonadaceae. The record is from RNAcentral.
UGCAGUCGAGCGGUAGAGAGAAGCUUGCUUCUCUUGAGAGCGGCGGACGGGUGAGUAAUGCCUAGGAAUCUGCCUGGUAGUGGGGGAUAACGUUCGGAAACGGACGCUAAUACCGCAUACGUCCUACGGGAGAAAGCAGGGGACCUUCGGGCCUUGCGCUAUCAGAUGAGCCUAGGUCGGAUUAGCUAGUUGGUGGGGUAAUGGCUCACCAAGGCGACGAUCCGUAACUGGUCUGAGAGGAUGAUCAGUCACACUGGAACUGAGACACGGUCCAGACUCCUACGGGAGGCAGCAGUGGGGAAUAUUGGACAAUGGGCGAAAGCCUGAUCCAGCCAUGCCGCGUGCGUGAAGAAGGUCUUCGGAUUGUAAAGCACUUUAAGUUGGGAGGAAGGGUUGUAGAUUAACACUCUGCAAUUUUGACGUUACCGACAGAAUAAGCACCGGCUAACUCUGUGCC